This 444-nucleotide ribosomal RNA is filed under the name Triticum aestivum (bread wheat). RNAcentral's name for it is "partial small subunit ribosomal RNA". The record is from RNAcentral. Lineage: Eukaryota; Viridiplantae; Streptophyta; Magnoliopsida; Poales; Poaceae.
AUGAAUCGACCAAAACAAUUGAAUGACCUAGUUAGUGGGGUGGUAACUCAUCAAGAUGCAUGUCAACACUUCCAGUUUGUUACCAAGUCAACUGCUGAAUCCCAGAUCAAGCAAACUAUCACAUUCAGUCAAUCAAACAGCAACCAACAUGUCUGUGCAUGUGUAAAUACGAAGGAUUCUUGUAGCACUGUAAGUUUGCAUGCAAAAUUGUUUUCAUUGGGCCUCAUUGCUUCAAAGGGUUUUAUAGGAAUUUUGGUGGAUUGGAAUUUUUCUAUGAUGUUUGUUCGUUUCUUAGGAUUGUAUCUCAAUGCAGACUUUUCCCAAGGACUCCACUGCAUUACAUUUUGUAGGAAAUUUCCUAAAGAAUCAUUUGUUUUUCCUGCGGUGCAACCAAACAAAUUUUGGUUCAAACCCUUAAAGGAUUCAAGUGGCAUGCCAUUGUAA